This 492-nucleotide ribosomal RNA is filed under the name uncultured bacterium. RNAcentral's name for it is "partial 16S ribosomal RNA". It matches the Rfam family "Bacterial small subunit ribosomal RNA", at positions 29 to 507 of the family's 1533-position model. The record is from RNAcentral.
AGUGAACGCUGGCGGUAGGCCUAACACAUGCAAGUCGAACGGCAGCACCGUAAGAGCUUGCUCUUACGGGUGGCGAGUGGCGGACGGGUGAGGAAUACAUCGGAAUCUACUUUUUCGUGGGGGAUAACGUAGGGAAACUUACGCUAAUACCGCAUACGACCUACGGGUGAAAGCAGGGGAUCUUCGGACCUUGCGCGAUUGAAUGAGCCGAUGUCGGAUUAGCUAGUUGGCGGGGUAAAGGCCCACCAAGGCGACGAUGCGUAGCUGGUCUGAGAGGAUGAUCAGCCACACUGGAACUGAGACACGGUCCAGAGUCCUACGGGAGGGAGCAGUGGGGAAUAGUGGACAAUGGGCGCAAGCCUGAUCCAGCCAUACCGCGUGGGUGAAGAAGGCCUUCGGGUUGUAAAGCCCUUUUGUUGGGAAAGAAAAGCAGCAGGUUAAUACCCCGCUGUUCUGACGGUACCCAAAGAAUAAGCACCGGCUAACUUCGUG